RNAcentral lists this unclassified non-coding RNA (22 nucleotides) under Chlamydomonas reinhardtii. Its description in RNAcentral is "small RNA Cre_2567". Lineage: Eukaryota; Viridiplantae; Chlorophyta; Chlorophyceae; Chlamydomonadales; Chlamydomonadaceae. The record is from RNAcentral.
UCCGAAAAGCCCUAUGUUUGCU